This 440-nucleotide ribosomal RNA is filed under the name uncultured bacterium. RNAcentral's name for it is "partial 16S ribosomal RNA". It matches the Rfam family "Bacterial small subunit ribosomal RNA", at positions 338 to 795 of the family's 1533-position model. The record is from RNAcentral.
CCUACGGGAGGCAGCAGUAGGGAAUAUUGCUCAAUGGGGGAAACCCUGAAGCAGCAACGCCGCGUGGAGGAUGAAGGUUUUCGGAUUGUAAACUCCUUUUGUUAGAGAAGAUAAUGACGGUAUCUAACGAAUAAGCACCGGCUAACCCCGUACCAGCAGCCGCGGUAAUACGGAGGGUGCACGCGUUACUCGGAAUCACUGGGCGUAAAGAGCGCGUAGGCGGGGUAGCAAGUCAGAUGUGAAAACCUCUGGCUUAAACAUAGAACUGCAUUUUAAACUGUUAUUCUAGAGUAUGGGAGAGGUAGGCGGAAUGCGUGGUGUAGGGGUAAAAUCCGUAGAGAUCACGAGGAAUACUCAUUGCGAAGGCGACCUGCUAGAACAUAACUGACGCUGAUGCGCGAAAGCGUGGGUAGCAAACAGGAUUAGAUACCCGUGUAGUC